CUCAGGGGGGCGGGGGUCCCUCAGCCCGGAUUGUGAGAGGGCACAGGCCAGGCUAAGGGACCCCACCGGUGCACA
Molecule: microRNA precursor, 75 nt
Filed under: Myotis brandtii (Brandt's bat)
Lineage: Eukaryota; Metazoa; Chordata; Mammalia; Chiroptera; Vespertilionidae
Description: mir-9193 microRNA precursor family
Rfam family: mir-9193 microRNA precursor family
Source: Rfam by way of RNAcentral